AGGGCUUGACAUACCAGUGACCGUCCUAGAGAUAGGAUUUUCCCUUCGGGGACAAUGGAUACAGGUGGUGCAUGGUUGUCGUCAGCUCGUGUCGUGAGAUGUUGGGUUAAGUCCCGCAACGAGCGCAACCCCUGUCGUUAGUUGCCAGCAUUCAGUUGGGGACUCUAACGAGACUGCCAGUGACAAACUGGAGGAAGGUGGGGAUGACGUCAAAUCAUCAUGCCCCUUAUGACCUGGGCUACACACGUGCUACAAUGGUUGGUACAAAGAGAAGCGAAGCGGUGACGUGGAGCAAACCUCAUAAAGCCAAUCUCAGUUCGGAUUGUAGGCUGCAACUCGCCUACAUGAAGUUGGAAUCGCUAGUAAUCGCGAAUCAGCAUGUCGCGGUGAAUACGUUCCCGGGUCUUGUACACACCGCCCGUCACACCACGAGAGUUUACAACACCCGAAGUCAGUGGCCUAACCGCAAGGAGGGAGCUGCCUAAGGUGGGGUAGAUGAUUGGGGUGAAGUCGUAACAAGGUAUCCCUACCGGAAGGUGGGGAUGGAUCACCUCCUUUCUAUGGAGA
RNAcentral lists this ribosomal RNA (567 nucleotides) under Bacteroides ovatus. Its description in RNAcentral is "bacterial SSU rRNA". It matches the Rfam family "Bacterial small subunit ribosomal RNA", at positions 976 to 1533 of the family's 1533-position model. Lineage: Bacteria; Pseudomonadati; Bacteroidota; Bacteroidia; Bacteroidales; Bacteroidaceae. The record is from RNAcentral.